Molecule: ribosomal RNA, 442 nt
Filed under: uncultured bacterium
Lineage: Bacteria
Description: partial 16S ribosomal RNA
Rfam family: Bacterial small subunit ribosomal RNA
Source: RNAcentral
CCUACGGGUGGCAGCAGUGGGGAAUAUUGGGCAAUGGGCGCAAGCCUGACCCAGCAACGCCGCGUGCAGGCAGAAGGCUUUCGGGUUGUAAACUUCUUUUGUCAGGGAAGAGUAGAAGACGGUACCUGACGAAUAAGCCCAGGCUAACUACGUGCCAGCAGCCGCGGUAAUACGUAGGUGGCAAGCGUUGUCCGGAUUUACUGGGUGUAAAGGGCGUGUAGCCGGGUUGACAAGUCAGAUGUGAAAUCCUGCGGCUUAACCGCAGAACUGCAAUUGAAACUGUUGAUCUUGAGUACUGGAGAGGCAGAUGGAAUUCCGAGUGUAGCGGUGAAAUGCGUAGAUAGUAGGAGGAACACCAGUGGCGAAGGCGGUCUGCUGGACAGCAACUGACGGUGAGGCGCGAAAGCGUGGGGAGCAAACAGGAUUAGAUACCCGAGUAGUC